Molecule: non-coding RNA, 2150 nt
Organism: Salmo salar (Atlantic salmon)
Lineage: Eukaryota; Metazoa; Chordata; Actinopteri; Salmoniformes; Salmonidae
Source: RefSeq, a predicted model, not a curated record
AGUGUUACCCGUUGAAUUGAUGAAUUUAUUCCCCAUUUGAAUCAGAACGACUAGAAAUGUAUCAGACAGGCGACGGCUGCAGCGCCUCACCUCAGACAGAAACAACCAAACCCAGAGAUGAAUGGAGAAUCCUUUCACACCAGCUGAUGCCUUGUGGGAAACAGACUGUGACCCAACUGGACCUUCCUCCCCGGCAUCCAAAAAUGGUGCUCUACUUUUUGACCGGCGCUAGAAAGAUACAUCUAGAAUGUCAGAGAGGCUGUGAGAAGGGAGAUAUAUUCCCAUAGAAAGACGAUUACUGAAGCAGACAUUCCCUUUUCAACUCAAUGACACAGUUAUGGGUGAACCCGGCGGCCAUUUUGAGUGAGUGUGAGUCCAUUUACACAGUUAUGGGUGAACCCGGCGGCCAUGUUGAGUGAGUGUGAGUCCAUUUACACAGUUAUGGGUGAACCCGGCGGCCAUGUUGAGUGAGUGUAAUUCCACGAGGGGGGAGAAGGGAAUCGGAGUCCAUUUACACAGUUAUGGGUGAACCCGGCGGCCAUGUUGAGUGAGUGUGAGUCCAUUUACACAGUUAUGGGUGAACCCGGCGGCCAUGUUGAGUGAGUGUAAUUCCACGAGGGGGGAGAAGGGAAUCGGAGUCCAUUUACACAGUUAUGGGUGAACCCGGCGGCCAUGUUGAGUGAGUGUGAGUCCAUUUACACAGUUAUGGGUGAACCCGGCGGCCAUGUUGAGUGAGUGUAAUUCCACGAGGGGGGAGAAGGGAAUCGGAGUCCAUUUACACAGUUAUGGGUGAACCCGGCGGCCAUGUUGAGUGAGUAUAAUUCCACGAGGGGGAGAAGGCGGCCAUGUUGAGUGAGUGUGAGUCCAUUUACACAGUUAUGGGUGAACCCGGCGGCCAUGUUGAGUGAGUGUAAUUCCACGAGGGGGAGAAGGGAGUUGGAGUCCAUUUACUCAGACAGUUAUGGGUGAACCCGGCGGCCAUGUUGAGUGAGUGUAAUUCCACGAGGGGGAGAAGGGAAUCGGAGUCCAUUUACUCAAGACAGGUAAAAUAAUUCAUCUCACUCAAGCACAACAUAUUUUCCAUUUAUCUUUUACAAUAAAUACAGUCUUACAAAGCAAAAAGGUUGUGAACACACAUUCAGUAGAAACACACACACAGACAGACAGGACCCCUCGGUUUAACCAAAUCCCCUAUGAGGGACCCUAUUCCCUACGUAGAGCACUAGAUAGGGAAUAGGGAGCCAUUUCAAAAAUGAACCCUCAUCAACACACCCCUUUUCAAAAACAAAUGUUUGUUCCUCAGAGAGCUGGACAGAGCAGGUAGAAAAACACACCCUCUUCAUAACUAGGUCUACCACACUUUAAAAUGUCUUCUCUCGUCCACAACCAGAAGAACCACAUCAUAACAGGAUCGCUAACCGUUCAAAAAAAAAAAUCAGCCUGCUUCCCCUCUCAUCUUUAAUGAAAACUAUAGCAGCAGUAGUAUUCAAUCUAGACGGAAUGUUACUGAAUCCCACAGGAAAGUGAAUAUGGGGGUCACGACCUUUUAGGAGCAAGAGACAGUGGAGCCCGUUGAACUUUCACAGUAAUAAAAAAUAAAAUCACAAAUGAACCAUGUUUUAUAACUAAAAAUGUGUUGCUACACAACGCAUGCAAAAAUAAAACAUUUCAUUUCAACGGUCACGUGUCUAGUCCAGGUGUGUCGGUGUGUCUAGUCCAGGUGUGUCGGUGUGUCUAGUCCAGGUGUGUCUCUGUUACAGCAUGUCUAGUCCAGGUGUGUCUAGUCCAGGUGUGUCUCUGUUACAGCAUGUCUAGUCCAGGUGUGUCAGUUUGUCUAGUCCAGGUGUGUCUAGUCCAGGUGUGUCAGUGUGUCUAGUCCAGGUGUGUCUAGUCCAGGUGUGUCUAGUCCAGGUGUGUGAAGAUAAAAUUCGUUGUAGACGACCCCUCUGGCAUCACAUGACAAAAUGGCCUCCUAUUUCCUUUCUAGUUCACUAGUUCAGACCAUCUAGCUGGUCAAGGUAGUGCACUAGGUAGGGAAUAGGGGCCUGGUCUAAAGUAGUACACUAGAUAGGGAAUAGGGGCCAUUCCAGAUUGGAGAGCUGUCAACGAGACAGGCAAGGAUAAAGAGGGUUCAAAGAGCACAGGACUGG